Molecule: long non-coding RNA, 2797 nt
Filed under: Homo sapiens (human)
Lineage: Eukaryota; Metazoa; Chordata; Mammalia; Primates; Hominidae
Description: HSALNT0304434
Source: RNAcentral
CUUAUUAAUGGCGGCAAGAGUUGGGAAGAUGUCACAGCAUAUGGGGGCAGGAGGCAGGGGCUAUGCUUCAGACAGGCUAUUGCUGAAGACAACAUGAUAUAACAGAAUUGGAAGUGCUUUCACAAACAUUGUUUUAUGAACACAAGGUAAGGUAGUGAACAAAUACCUGACUUUGUGAAUUUGCAUGCUGCCAAUAUAUGCACACCUGCAUCAUAAGGUCUCAUUUAUGAUGCUCUAUGUUUGUUUUUUUUCCUUUAAAAAUUUUCUGUGUAUUCCCAGCUGUUCAAAAUAUAAUUCCAAGUGUGUAUCAUCUGUAGAAUUGGGCCACUGCAGAGCACUAUGUUGUUCCUGAACCUAAUCCAAAGUUUCAAGAGCUAGCCCAUCUCUGAACUUCCCACCAGCAUGAAAACCCUAAUCUAAUCUGUGCAACAAUAAUCUCUAGAUAGGCAUCUCUCACACUUGCUUUUGGAGUACUGUUUUAGUAGCUUACUUGUGUUUUUUAAAGUUCAUUUCUCCACCCACAGGAUAGCUCCAUAUCUUCCAGCACCACUAAUGAGUAAGUAUUAGGGCCAAGCUGGUAUCUGCAGAGUGCUGACUGGCCAAGAGUCUGCCUGUGACUCAUGCCUUAGGCUGUCCAGCAUUGGGGUGCUGGGGGGCUGUAGCCAUAACAUUUGCAGGAUUUGGAAAUUCCACCUCAAGCUCCAAUCCCAGGGUGUUGAUUCUGGCUAACCAUGUUUAUGCAAAGCAAUCCAAGCACUUUGACUCACUUUGGGAAUCUGGCAUUCUUGGGCUUUUGAUAUUGAGACAGUGGAACACUUUUGUAUCAGUUUAGGUUCUGCCAAUAAUUGCUAUCCAUUUAAGCACUUGAUUUUUUACAUAUUUACCAGCAAUUUCCAAGGCUUUAAUGGAUAGAGUUAGCACUCUUCUGCAAGGAGAAAUUGCUCCACAGUGCUAAUAGUCGUGGAUUCACAGGCACUCAGUGAGAAUAUUUUAGGCAUAAGCUUAGUUUUAUUAUUGUACCUUAGAGAAACCUUGUAUUUUUAACUAGGUGGUAACUUUUUACUGUAUUAGUUAAUCAAAAGAAACAUAAAUAUAACCAAAAUGUUAUUUUUAGUUUGUACUGGAUUCUAUAAAAAUAUGAUUACCCAUUCUAGCUUUAUUUUGAUGUUAAUAUUUACAUUUAAAUAGAAGAAAAACAGUAAAGGGAGCACAUCAAUGUAAGAAGUGUAUGGCUUUAGUAAAAUAUAUAAGAAACUUUGGUAAACAGGGAUUUAAAAAACUCUAAUCCCUUCACCAACUCAGAAUGCCAGUUCCUUACAAAGCUGCAUACCUGAGCAACCACACAUGUGGUUUCUGUGGAUGAGACAUUUAAAUGAUGCAAUCAUUUUGGGAUAACAGUUAUAUAAUAUAAAGGUUUCACAUGAGUGUCUAGCUGAAAAACCACUGCGUUUUCCUAUGAAUGCAAAGAAACCUCUGCUCAGGUGUUGGAAGCUGUGCCUCUCCAGCUGCCUGCCACCUUCCACCCCUUCACCUGUGGCUUCCGCUGGUUUCUGAUGGGCACCCUUUGAUCACUGGGGUCAGUUCAAUUUCCUGGGCCACUGGGUCAUGGGCAGGACAUGAAAAUGUAAGAAGAGGGACCAUGCGGUUCACCUAAAUGACACUCAUUUAAUAACAACAUCAAAAUCCUUGAUGUGACAGGACCUAUCGCCUGGCAUACUAAAAGUGGGGAGAGCAAUUCUCUCAUCUUCUGCUGUAGUUAAUGAUAUCUUCCUAAACCUGCAUUAAUCAUCAAGUGAACUUCUAGGGAUAACGUAACUUCUGGGAGAAUUUAAACUGAGAUUGAAUUUGUAUCUCAGACGGUAGUGCCCACAGAGGUGGGCAGUGGCACAGGCUUCCUUCAGCUUGUGUCCCAGGUUUAUGGGAGAACUCUUCUCCCUGUCCCUCAAUUCACACACAAAAGUGCAAAACAGGAUUAUGGGCAUAGGGCAUGGGCAAUUUCAUCUACAGCAGUGCCGAUCUCUGCCUCACUCUUUGAGGUCACCACAAUGCUUUCCUUCUGUUCAGAACCAUAAUGGUUUCUGUGUAUCAAUUGUUUGUGGGCAACUGCUGAAAGGGAAUCGAGGGAUAAACAUGAUUCUAACCAAUCGCAUUCUGUGGUGUCUAUGGGCUUCCACCUGUUAACAUGGGAAACUUUCUGAAUUUAGGUUCAUCCCCAUCUUGUGGAAUUGGAUUUCCACCAAGGGUUCCUGCUCCUCAUUUAGCGUGGAAGAAAGUGGAUUUUGCAAAUAACAUUCAUGAUGUUUUGGGCAGUAUCUACUCUGCCUGCAAGCUUAGGCUACAAAUGACAAAUGGCACACCAAAGUGAGGUGUGGUCGUGCAGACAGAAAAAGCAAGGGCCUCCUAAUGCCCAGGAAGCAAAAAGGAAAGAACGUCUCUUCGGUACCUCAUGACUUCCUGCUAGAGGCCUGAAGUCACUGGCACACUGGAGGAUUCUGUUAGUAUUCUCAUCAGGUAUGCUGUUUAUUAGACAGAUUAAGACUAAAAGAAAAUACACAAAAAUAGAAAGCUGCUUCUUUGAGAAUGAUGAGUAUGUUUUCAAAAACUUUAAAUUUUAAAUAUUUAUAGAUUCACAUGAAGGUGUCACAAAAUGUACAGGGAAGUCCUGAACACUCUUCACCCAGCCUCUGCCAAGGUUAGUGUCAUGAGUAACUGUAGUAAAAUGUCGAAACCAGGAAACUGACAUUAGAACAAUCCACAGAGCUUAUUCAGAUUUCAACAGUUAUGCAUGGACUCAUUU